This 497-nucleotide ribosomal RNA is filed under the name uncultured bacterium. Its description in RNAcentral is "partial 16S ribosomal RNA". It matches the Rfam family "Bacterial small subunit ribosomal RNA", at positions 28 to 507 of the family's 1533-position model. The record is from RNAcentral.
GAUGAACGCUGGCGGCGUGCCUAAUACAUGCAAGUCGAGCGAACAGACGAGGAGGUUGCUCCUCUGUCGUUAGCGGCGGACGUGUGAGUAACACGUGGAUUACCUACCUCUGUGACUUGGGUCACUUCGGGAAACCGUAGCUAAUACCGGAUAAUCUAUUGACCCGCACGGUUCCAUAGUCUAAGACGUUUUUGUUGUCUCUUAUUGAUGGAUCCGCGCCGCAUUAGCUAGUUGGUAAGGUAACGGCUUACCAAGGCAACGAUGCGUAGCCGACCUGGGAGGGUGGUCGGCCACACUGGAAGUGAGACACGGUCCAGACUCCUACGGGAGGCAGCAGUAGGGAAUCUUCCGCAAUGGGCGAAAGCCUGACGGAGCAACGCCGCGUGAGUGAUGAAGGUCUUCGGAUCGUAAAACUCUGUUAUUAGGGAAGAACAAAUGUGUAAGUAACUAUGCACGUCUUAACGGUACCUAAUCAGAAAGACACGGCUAACUACGUG